UGGCUCAGUUGGUAGAGCAUGGUGUUUGCAACGCCAGGGUUGUGGGUUCCAUUCCCAU
Salmo salar (Atlantic salmon) is the source of this 58-nucleotide non-coding RNA. The record is from Rfam. Lineage: Eukaryota; Metazoa; Chordata; Actinopteri; Salmoniformes; Salmonidae.